AACGUAGGAGACAAGCGUUAUCCGGAGUUACUGGGCGUAAAGGGCGUGCAGGCGGUCUGUUAAGUCUGUUGUGAAAGUUCCCGGCUAAACCGGGAGAGGUCGACGGAUACUGGCAGACUAGAGGACAGUAGAGGCGUGUGGAAUUCCGGGAGUAGUGGUGAAAUGCGUAGAUAUCCGGAGGAACACCAGUGGCGAAGGCGACACGCUGGGCUGUACCUGACGCUAAGACGCGACAGCAUGGGUAGCGAACGGG
This 253-nucleotide ribosomal RNA is filed under the name uncultured bacterium. RNAcentral describes it as "partial 16S ribosomal RNA". It matches the Rfam family "Bacterial small subunit ribosomal RNA", at positions 524 to 776 of the family's 1533-position model. The record is from RNAcentral.